RNAcentral lists this ribosomal RNA (506 nucleotides) under uncultured bacterium. RNAcentral describes it as "bacterial SSU rRNA". It matches the Rfam family "Bacterial small subunit ribosomal RNA", at positions 339 to 834 of the family's 1533-position model. The record is from RNAcentral.
CUACGGGAGGCAGCAGUGGGGAAUAUUGGACAAUGGGCGAAAGCCUGAUCCAGCCAUGCCGCGUGUGUGAAGAAGGUCUUCGGAUUGUAAAGCACUUUAAGUUGGGAGGAAGGGCAGUAAGUUAAUACCUUGCUGUUUUGACGUUACCAACAGAAUAAGCACCGGCUAACUUCGUGCCAGCAGCCGCGGUAAUACGAAGGGUGCAAGCGUUAAUCGGAAUUACUGGGCGUAAAGCGCGCGUAGGUGGUUUGGUAAGAUGGAUGUGAAAUCCCCGGGCUCAACCUGGGAACUGCAUCCAUAACUGCCUGACUAGAGUACGGUAGAGGGUGGUGGAAUUUCCUGUGUAGCGGUGAAAUGCGUAGAUAUAGGAAGGAACACCAGUGGCGAAGGCGACCACCUGGACUGAUACUGACACUGAGGUGCGAAAGCGUGGGGAGCAAACAGGAUUAGAUAUCCCUGGUAGUCCACGCCGUAAACCGAUGUCGAGCUAGCCCGUUGGGAUCCUU